Molecule: ribosomal RNA, 825 nt
Filed under: uncultured Staphylococcus sp.
Lineage: Bacteria; Bacillati; Bacillota; Bacilli; Caryophanales; Staphylococcaceae
Description: bacterial SSU rRNA
Rfam family: Bacterial small subunit ribosomal RNA
Source: RNAcentral
GAACGGACGAGAAGCUUGCUUCUCUGAUGUUAGCGGCGGACGGGUGAGUAACACGUGGAUAACCUACCUAUAAGACUGGGAUAACUUCGGGAAACCGGAGCUAAUACCGGAUAAUAUUAUUGAACCGCAUGGUUCAAAAGUGAAAGACGGUCUUGCUGUCACUUAUAGAUGGAUCCGCGCUGCAUUAGCUAGUUGGUAAGUGUAACGGCUUACCAAGGCAACGAUGCAUAGCCGACCUGAGAGGGUGAUCGGCCACACUGGAACUGAGACACGGUCCAGACUCCUACGGGAGGCAGCAGUAGGGAAUCUUCCGCAAUGGGCGAAAGCCUGACGGAGCAACGCCGCGUGAGUGAUGAAGGUCUUCGGAUCGUAAAACUCUGUUAUUAGGGAAGAACAUAUGUGUAAGUAACUGUGCACAUCUUGACGGUACCUAAUCAGAAAGCCACGGCUAACUACGUGCCAGCAGCCGCGGUAAUACGUAGGUGGCAAGCGUUAUCCGGAAUUAUUGGGCGUAAAGCGCGCGUAGGCGGUUUUUUAAGUCUGAUGUGAAAGCCCACGGCUCAACCGUGGAGGGUCAUUGGAAACUGGAAAACUUGAGUGCAGAAGAGGAAAGUGGAAUUCCAUGUGUACGGUGAAAUGCGCAGAGAUAUGGAGGAACACCAGUGGCGAAGGCGACUUUCUGGUCUGUAACUGACGCUGAUGUGCGAAUAGCGUGGGGAUCAAACAGGAUUAGAUACCCUGGUAGUCCACGCCGUAAACGAUGAGUGCUAAGUGUUAGGGGGUUUCCGCCCCUUAGUGCUGCAGCUACGCAUUAAGCACUCCGCC